Molecule: ribosomal RNA, 497 nt
Filed under: uncultured bacterium
Lineage: Bacteria
Description: partial 16S ribosomal RNA
Rfam family: Bacterial small subunit ribosomal RNA
Source: RNAcentral
GAUGAACGCUGGCGGCGUGCCUAAUACAUGCAAGUCGAGCGAACAGAUGAGAACCUUCCUCCUCGGACGUUAGCGGCGGACGGGUGAGUAACACAUGGAUACCCUACCUAUGAGACUGAGAUAACUUCGGGACACCGGCUCUAAUACCGGAAUAUUUAUUGAACCGCAUGAUUCACUAGAGAAAUGCGGUUUUGCCGUUACUAAUAGGUGCUUCCGCGCCGUAUUAGCUAGUUGGUAAGGUAACGGCUUACCAAGGCGACGAUGCGUAGCCGACCUGAGAGGGUGAUCGGCCACACUGGAACUGAGACACGGCCCAGACUCCUACGGGAGGCAGCAGUAGGGAAUCUUCGGCAAUGGGCGAAAGCCUGACGGAGCAACGCCGCGUGAGUGAAGAAGGUCUUCGGAUCGUAAAGCUCUGUUAUUAGGGAAGAACAAGUGUGUAAGUGAAAAGUCAAGUCUGUGAGGUACCUUAACAGAAAGGCAAGGGCAAACUAGUG